UUAGGCUUCAAAAGAAUAUGUUCCUGCCACACUGAAGCUAAGUGGGCUGUUCAAAACAUCAGUGGCUUUAUGGAUAUAGGCUACGUUUCCUCUGCUGUGCCUCAAACAACAUGGACACUGGGUCAGUGUGAUGAGUGAAGAGUAGCCCAGCUACUCCAACAAACAAGAAGAGCAGUUCAGCUACUCCAACAAACAAGAAAAAAAGCUAAGAAAUUAGCACACAGUGGCAAGCUGAAAAUAUGUCAGGUACACUGAGGGGCUAGGUCACCCUGAAUAUCAAAAAUUCAAGGCUCUGCAUUAGGCUUCUGGAAACACCAUUCUAGAAGGCUAGAGAAUCUCUUCAAAAGCUCUCCCAGGGGAUGUCAAUAAAUUUCUGGGAAUGUUGAAUCGAAUGCUAUGACAAUGAAUUAUGACGUUACUGCUAGAUCUGGGACUGAUCCUGCAGAGACAGCUCCCUAUGUACCAUGAAGCCUUGGACUCUGAAAUAGAAUGAAGGGCUCAAAGCCAGUGGACACUCUGAGCAAUGGACAGUGGUAGGAUUGGAGUCAUUCAAUUUAGGUCAGCUGACUUUAUCAAGACUUUAAGUUGGCCACCAGUCUACUAAUGUUAUUUUUUUUUAAUUCCA
Molecule: long non-coding RNA, 625 nt
Filed under: Mus spicilegus (steppe mouse)
Lineage: Eukaryota; Metazoa; Chordata; Mammalia; Rodentia; Muridae
Description: lncRNA (ENSMSIG00000013649.1)
Source: RNAcentral